AGUCAAUAGAUACCCGGGUAGUCCACGCCGUAAACGAUGAAUACUAGGUGUAGGAGGUAUCGACUCCUUCUGUGCCGCAGUUAAAACACAAUAAGUAUUCCGCCUGGGGUAGUACGGUCGCAAGAUUAAAAACCUCAAAGGAAUUGACGGGGGUCCCGGCACGAGCAGCGGAGCAUGUGGUUUAAAUUCGAAGCAACGCGAAGAACCUUACCUAGACUUGACAUCUUCUGCAUUAAACUCGUAAACUGGAUGAAAACUCCCUUCGGGGUACAGAAUGACAGGUGGUGCAUGGUUGUCGUCAGCUCGUGUCGUGAGAUGUUGGGUUAAACGUCCCGCAACGAGCGCAACCCCGUAUUAUUAGUUGCUAACCAUUAACGUUGAGCACUCUAGUGAGACUGCCC
This 401-nucleotide ribosomal RNA is filed under the name uncultured bacterium. RNAcentral's name for it is "bacterial SSU rRNA". It matches the Rfam family "Bacterial small subunit ribosomal RNA", at positions 775 to 1154 of the family's 1533-position model. The record is from RNAcentral.